CCUACUGGAGGCAGCAGUGAGGAAUAUUGGUCAAUGGUCGGGAGACUGAACCAGCCAAGCCGCGUGAGGGAUGAAGGUACAGAGUAUCGUAAACCUCUUUUGUCUGGGAACAAAGACUGGGAUGUGUCCUCGGAUGAGUGUACCUGAUGAAAAAGCAUCGGCUAACUCCGUGCCAGCAGCCGCGGUAAUACGGAGGAUUCGAGCGUUAUCCGGAUUUAUUGGGUUUAAAGGGUGCGGAGGCUGUCUGUUAAGUCAGCGGUGAAAGUUCGGGGCUCAACCGCGGACGCGCAGUUGAACCUGGCAGUCUCGAGUUGGGGAGAGGUAUGCGGAAUGCGCGGUGUAGCGGUGAAAUGCAUAGAUAUCGCGAAGAACUCCGAUUGCGAAGGCAGCAUGCCGGCUCCACACUGACGCUGAGGCUCGAAAGCGUGGGUAUCGAACAGGAUUAGAUACCCUGGUAGUC
RNAcentral lists this ribosomal RNA (460 nucleotides) under uncultured bacterium. RNAcentral describes it as "partial 16S ribosomal RNA". It matches the Rfam family "Bacterial small subunit ribosomal RNA", at positions 338 to 795 of the family's 1533-position model. The record is from RNAcentral.